AUUGAACGCUGGCGGCAGGCCUAACACAUGCAAGUCGAACGGUAACAGGAAGCAGCUUGCUGCUUUGCUGACGAGUGGCGGACGGGUGAGUAAUGUCUGUGAAACUGCCCGAUGGAGGGGGAUAACUACUGGAAACGGUAGCUAAUACCGCAUAACUUCGCAAGAGCAAAGAGGGGGACCUUAGGGCCUCUUUCCAGCGGAUGUGCCCAGAUGGGAUUAGCUAGUAGGUGGGGUAACGGCUCACCUAGGCGACGAUCCCUAGCUGGUCUGAGAGGAUGACCAGCCACACUGGAACUGAGACACGGUCCAGACUCCUACGGGAGGCAGCAGUGGGGAAUAUUGCACAAUGGGCGCAAGCCUGAUGCAGCCAUGCCGCGUGUAUGAAGAAGGCCUUCGGGUUGUAAAGUACUUUCAGCGGGGAGGAAGGGAGUAAAGUUAAUACCUUUGCUCAUUGACGUUACCCGAAGAAGAAGCACCGGCUAACUACGUG
RNAcentral lists this ribosomal RNA (490 nucleotides) under uncultured bacterium. RNAcentral's name for it is "partial 16S ribosomal RNA". It matches the Rfam family "Bacterial small subunit ribosomal RNA", at positions 30 to 507 of the family's 1533-position model. The record is from RNAcentral.